RNAcentral lists this ribosomal RNA (253 nucleotides) under uncultured bacterium. RNAcentral describes it as "partial 16S ribosomal RNA". It matches the Rfam family "Bacterial small subunit ribosomal RNA", at positions 524 to 776 of the family's 1533-position model. The record is from RNAcentral.
CACGGGGGGAGCAAGCGUUGUUCGGAAUUACUGGGCGUAAAGGGCGCGUAGGCGGCCGAUCAAGUCAGAUGUGAAAGUCCUGGGCUUAACCUGGGGACUGCAUUUGAUACUGAUUGGCUUGAAUUCGGGAGAGGAUAGCGGAAUUCCCAGUGUAGAGGUGAAAUUCGUAGAUAUUGGGAAGAACACCGGUGGCGAAGGCGGCUAUCUGGACCGACAUUGACGCUGAGGCGCGAAAGCGUGGGGAGCAAACAGG